Molecule: ribosomal RNA, 112 nt
Filed under: Ipomoea nil (Japanese morning glory)
Lineage: Eukaryota; Viridiplantae; Streptophyta; Magnoliopsida; Solanales; Convolvulaceae
Source: RNAcentral
GGAUGCGAUGCAUACCAGUAGUAUCAGUAACUCCGGUGAGUGGGAGUCCUGCGUGUUGGGCGAGAGUAGUACUAGGAUGGGUGACCCCUGGGAAGUCCUCGUGUUGCAUCCC